CUGUAAAAUAGUACCUUCUUUUUCAUAUUAUAUUCCAUUUUGUGAUACCCAACAACAUCAAAUACAAUGGAUAACAGUUUAAAUGUUUAUUACCAACAAGCAAAUUGCGCAAAUUUGUUGGAAAAUGAACCCUGCAACACGGCCUUUAAUCUGGAGGUCACUGAA
Molecule: long non-coding RNA, 165 nt
Organism: Sander lucioperca (pikeperch)
Lineage: Eukaryota; Metazoa; Chordata; Actinopteri; Perciformes; Percidae
Exons: 3
Source: RefSeq, a predicted model, not a curated record